AAAUGACUCUCAGCAACGGAUAUCUCGGAUCUCGCAUUGAUGAAGAACAUAGCGAAAUGUGACACCUGGUGUGAAUUGUAGAAUCCCGCGAACCAUGGAGUCUUUGAACGCAAGUUACUCCUGACGCCUUCGGGCUGAGGGAAUGCCUGCCUGGGCUUCACGA
This 163-nucleotide ribosomal RNA is filed under the name Securidaca elliptica. RNAcentral's name for it is "5.8S ribosomal RNA". It matches the Rfam family "5.8S ribosomal RNA". From Rfam's summary of the family: 5.8S ribosomal RNA (5.8S rRNA) is a component of the large subunit of the eukaryotic ribosome. It is transcribed by RNA polymerase I as part of the 45S precursor that also contains 18S and 28S rRNA. Lineage: Eukaryota; Viridiplantae; Streptophyta; Magnoliopsida; Fabales; Polygalaceae. The record is from RNAcentral.